CCAGCUUUGAUAUUCCAUGCUGCCAUGGAGAGCCCACGUGGCCUGUGAGUCAGUGACGUAUCAAAUCCAAGAGGAGGGAGCGCGAUGGACAAUCAGACCACGACCACCACCCAGCAGUGAGAUCUUCCCUGUGUAAUACACAUCAAGUGGCUGGCAACGUACCAUGUGGAAGAAAAACAAUACAUACGCUUGGCUUAUUGAAUGAAUAUAUACACAUGCAUCUCUUUGAGCAUAAGACUAUAUAUAUGCAUUUAUGUUCACUCCUCUUGAGGUGGGAAAUAUAAAAUUAGCACUGUGAUGUCAAAAAUGAUGAAAAUGAGGAUAUUCAUUUAGAGUGAAUCCUUCCUCUCAUCCCAGAGAGCAAUCUCUAACUUCAAAACCCAACAAUCAAACAUUUCUUCAAAUCAAAUGUUUUCCCAAGACACUGUGCUUUUAAUAA
This 439-nucleotide long non-coding RNA is filed under the name Bos taurus (domestic cattle). RNAcentral describes it as "long non-coding RNA NONBTAT024916". The record is from RNAcentral. Lineage: Eukaryota; Metazoa; Chordata; Mammalia; Artiodactyla; Bovidae.